Molecule: long non-coding RNA, 246 nt
Filed under: Brassica napus (rape)
Lineage: Eukaryota; Viridiplantae; Streptophyta; Magnoliopsida; Brassicales; Brassicaceae
Description: long non-coding RNA (BNAP_LNC004314)
Source: RNAcentral
GUCCAGAACUGCCUCGGAAGAUGAUGGACUGGAAGAAGAUGUCCCGACACCAUCAGUAAACAUAUGAGAGUAAGUAGGUGCUGCUGGCUUUCUUCUAGGACCCAUCUAAAUUUCAAAAAGAAAAAGAAUUAGAAUUAGUUUUAUCAACAACUACGUAAUUAAAAAGUAUUUUCCCGAUACCUAACUAAUCACCUAAACUAAUUACCUAUACUAACCACCUAAACUAAUUACCUACACUAACCACCU